Molecule: ribosomal RNA, 639 nt
Filed under: cf. Sychnotylenchus sp. CSP1-09
Lineage: Eukaryota; Metazoa; Nematoda; Chromadorea; Rhabditida; Anguinidae
Description: SSU rRNA
Rfam family: Eukaryotic small subunit ribosomal RNA
Source: RNAcentral
GGCGAUCAGAUACCGCCCUAGUUCUGACCGUAAACUAUGCCAACUAGCGAUUCGCCGGUGGAUUAUAUGCCUUGGCGAGGAGCUUCCCGGAAACGAAAGUCUUCCGGUUCCGGGGGAAGUAUGGUUGCAAAGCUGAAACUUAAAGGAAUUGACGGAAGGACACCACCAGGAGUGGAGCCUGCGGCUUAAUUUGACUCAACACGGGAAAUCUCACCCGGCCCGGACAGUAUAAGGAUUGACAGAUUGAUAGCUCUUUCAUGAUUUGGUGGUUGGUGGUGCAUGGCCGUUCUUAGUUCGUGGAUUGAUUUGUCUGGUUUAUUCCGAUAACGAACGAGACUUAAGCCUACUAAAUAGUUGGCUCAUUCACUAUGUGUGAGUGUUAUACUUCCUAGAGGAAUUUUCGGUGUUUACCUGCAUGAAAAUGAGCAAUAACAGGUCUGUGAUGCCCUUAGAUGUCCGGGGCUGCACGCGCGCUACACUGGUGUAGCCAGCGUGUAUAUCCUUUCUCGUUAGAGACUGGGUAAACCAAUCAAAUUUUGCCGUGAUUGGGAUUGGAAAUUGCAAUUAUUUUCCGUUAACGAGGAAUUCCAAGUAAAUGCGAGUCAUCAACUCGCGUUGAUUACGUCCCUGCCCUUUGUA